UACGUAGGGGGCAAGCGUUGUCCGGAUUUAUUGGGCGUAAAGAGCUCGUAGGCGGUUCUGUAAGUCGAGUGUGAAAAAUCUGGGCUCAACCCAGUGGAGCACUCGAUACUGCAGUGACUCGAGUCCGGUAGGGGAGUGUGGAAUUCCUGGUGUAGCGGUGAAAUGCGCAGAUAUCAGGAGGAACACCAACGGCGAAGGCAGCACUCUGGGCCGGUACUGACGCUGAGGAGCGAAAGCAUGUGUAGCGAACAGU
This 253-nucleotide ribosomal RNA is filed under the name uncultured bacterium. RNAcentral describes it as "partial 16S ribosomal RNA". It matches the Rfam family "Bacterial small subunit ribosomal RNA", at positions 524 to 776 of the family's 1533-position model. The record is from RNAcentral.